AUGCUCGCUUCGGCAGCACACACACUAAAACCAGAGCGAGACAGAGACGGUUAGCGUGGCCCCUGUGCAAGGGGGACAUGCACACUCGUGAAGCAUUCCAUAUUAAA
Camelus dromedarius (Arabian camel) is the source of this 107-nucleotide small nuclear RNA. The record is from Ensembl. NCBI's taxonomy places the organism in Eukaryota, Metazoa, Chordata, Mammalia, Artiodactyla, Camelidae.